GCCGAGGUGGCGAAAUUGGCAGACGCGCAAGGUUCAGGUCCUUGUGGGGGGUAACCCCCGUGGAGGUUCAAGUCCUCUCCUCGGCACCA
This 89-nucleotide transfer RNA is filed under the name Pseudomonadota bacterium. RNAcentral's name for it is "tRNA-Leu". It matches the Rfam family "tRNA". Rfam says of the family: Transfer RNA (tRNA) molecules are approximately 80 nucleotides in length. Their secondary structure includes four short double-helical elements and three loops (D, anti-codon, and T loops). Further hydrogen bonds mediate the characteristic L-shaped molecular structure. tRNAs have two regions of fundamental functional importance: the anti-codon, which is responsible for specific mRNA codon recognition, and the 3' end, to which the tRNAs corresponding amino acid is attached (by aminoacyl-tRNA synthetases). tRNAs cope with the degeneracy of the genetic code in two manners: having more than one tRNA (with a specific anti-codon) for a particular amino acid; and 'wobble' base-pairing, i.e. permitting non-standard base-pairing at the 3rd anti-codon position. The record is from RNAcentral. Lineage: Bacteria; Pseudomonadati; Pseudomonadota.